AUAUAAAAAAAUAUAUAUAUAUGAACACAUGGUUAGAAAAGUUAUAAUUUUAUUCCAACAAGAAGCAUUUAUAAGAGUCUAGUCAGCUCUUUGUCUGACAUUAUAAGAUGAAAAAACGACAAAAUCAAGAAAAAAAAGUUGGCUACUCGAUCGGUGGGACUUCGUCGGCUGGUUGCACCUCAUCGACUUUAAAAAUUUCUCUGCC
This 205-nucleotide long non-coding RNA is filed under the name Elaeis guineensis (African oil palm). RNAcentral's name for it is "long non-coding RNA (EGUI_LNC013289)". Lineage: Eukaryota; Viridiplantae; Streptophyta; Magnoliopsida; Arecales; Arecaceae. The record is from RNAcentral.